CAAAUUUAAUAUUAAAAAUAAAGGCAGCUAGAAUUGAGCUAUUAGUAAACCUCUUGUGAUCAAAAGAAAGAAGAUUUGAAAGAGAAAACCGUCCGCAAGUUAGAUCCACGCGCGACUCUAGCGCGUGGAAUAUAGCUAUUAGUUUGCCUAUCUAUUGUACAUAUCUUGAGAAAUAAAAUUUAGAUUAUAGUAAGAUAUCUCUUUUCCAAUGGAAACUUGAUAAAUUUUCCCUUUGAUUUUUCUUUUGACUAC
RNAcentral lists this small RNA (252 nucleotides) under Arabidopsis thaliana (thale cress). RNAcentral's name for it is "ATSL231670". Lineage: Eukaryota; Viridiplantae; Streptophyta; Magnoliopsida; Brassicales; Brassicaceae. The record is from RNAcentral.